This 348-nucleotide unclassified non-coding RNA is filed under the name soil metagenome. RNAcentral's name for it is "partial contains 5.8S ribosomal RNA, internal transcribed spacer 2, and large subunit ribosomal RNA". The stretch from base 1 to 120 matches the Rfam family "5.8S ribosomal RNA", at positions 35 to 154 of the family's 154-position model. The record is from RNAcentral.
GAUGAAGAACGUAGCGAAAUGCGAUAAGUAAUGUGAAUUGCAGAAUUCAGUGAAUCAUCGAAUCUUUGAACGCACAUUGCGCCCGCCAGUAUUCUGGCGGGCAUGCCUGUCCGAGCGUCAUUUCAACCCUCGAACCCCUCCGGGGGGUCGGCGUUGGGGAUCGGCACUUACCUGCCGGCCCCGAAAUACAGUGGCGGUCUCGCCGCAGCCUCUCCUGCGCAGUAGUUUGCACACUCGCACCGGGAGCGCGGCGCGUCCACGGCCGUAAAACAACCCAAACUUCUGAGAUGUUGACCUCGGAUCAGGUAGGAAUACCCGCUGAACUUAAGCAUAUCAAUAAGCGGAGGA